RNAcentral lists this ribosomal RNA (524 nucleotides) under uncultured bacterium. RNAcentral's name for it is "bacterial SSU rRNA". It matches the Rfam family "Bacterial small subunit ribosomal RNA", at positions 969 to 1501 of the family's 1533-position model. The record is from RNAcentral.
CCUUAUCCAGGGCUUGACAUGCACGGAUUAUUGAUCCGAAAGGUGAUAAACGCUCUCUGAGUGGAACGUGCACAGGUGCUGCAUGGCUGUCGUCAGCUCGUGCUGUGAAGUGUCGGGUUAAGUCCCUUAACGAGCGAAACCCCUAUCCCUAGUUGCCAGCGAGUCAUGUCGGGGACUCUAGGGAGGCUGCCGGCGUCAAGCCGGAGGAAGGUGGGGAUGACGUCAAGUCCUCAUGGCCUUUAUGCCCUGGGCUGCACACGUGCUACAAUGAAAAUUACAAUAAGUUACAAAAAAAUAAAAAUUUUAGUUAAUCUUUCAAAAAUUUUCGUAGUUCGAAUUAUAAACUGAAACUCGUUUAUAUGAAGCUGGAAUCGAUAGUAAUCGCAAAUCAUAAUGUUGCGGUGAAUAUGUACACUGGUCUUGCACACACCGCCCGUCACAUCCGAAGAAUCAGUUUUGCUUGAAGAUUUUUAAAAAUCCACUUGAAAAAUUAAUAAUUGGGAUGAAGUCGUAACAAGGUAGCC